GAGCGGACAGAUGGGAGCUUGCUCCCUGAUGUUAGCGGCGGACGGGUGAGUAACACGUGGGUAACCUGCCUGUAAGACUGGGAUAACUCCGGGAAACCGGGGCUAAUACCGGAUGGUUGUUUGAACCGCAUGGUUCAGACAUAAAAGGUGGCUUCGGCUACCACUUACAGAUGGACCCGCGGCGCAUUAGCUAGUUGGUGAGGUAACGGCUCACCAAGGCAACGAUGCGUAGCCGACCUGAGAGGGUGAUCGGCCACACUGGGACUGAGACACGGCCCAGACUCCUACGGGAGGCAGCAGUAGGGAAUCUUCCGCAAUGGACGAAAGUCUGACGGAGCAACGCCGCGUGAGUGAUGAAGGUUUUCGGAUCGUAAAGCUCUGUUGUUAGGGAAGAACAAGUGCCGUUCAAAUAGGGCGGCACCUUGACGGUACCUAACCAGAAAGCCACGGCUAACUACGUGCCAGCAGCCGCGGUAAUACGUAGGUGGCAAGCGUUGUCCGGAAUUAUUGGGCGUAAAGGGCUCGCAGGCGGUUUCUUAAGUCUGAUGUGAAAGCCCCCGGCUCAACCGGGGAGGGUCAUUGGAAACUGGGGAACUUGAGUGCAGAAGAGGAGAGUGGAAUUCCACGUGUAGCGGUGAAAUGCGUAGAGAUGUGGAGGAACACCAGUGGCGAAGGCGACUCUCUGGUCUGUAACUGACGCUGAGGAGCGAAAGCGUGGGGAGCGAACAGGAUUAGAUACCCUGGUAGUCCACGCCGUAAACGAUGAGUGCUAAGUGUUAGGGGGUUUCCGCCCCUUAGUGCUGCAGCUAACGCAUUAAGCACUCCGCC
Molecule: ribosomal RNA, 828 nt
Filed under: Bacillus amyloliquefaciens
Lineage: Bacteria; Bacillati; Bacillota; Bacilli; Caryophanales; Bacillaceae
Description: bacterial SSU rRNA
Rfam family: Bacterial small subunit ribosomal RNA
Source: RNAcentral